Molecule: long non-coding RNA, 156 nt
Organism: Octopus sinensis (East Asian common octopus)
Lineage: Eukaryota; Metazoa; Mollusca; Cephalopoda; Octopoda; Octopodidae
Exons: 3
Source: RefSeq, a predicted model, not a curated record
CAAAAUGUAUAGUAUUAAAUAUCCAUCAUGGCUGAUCUCACCAAUUGGUUUCAUGUAAAGAAUACAAUGGAGUGUUAGGUAACAAUCCGAUUAUAUAACUUUACGCUCAUCAGAGUUGGCCGAUAUGGAAGGGAAUCUGGCAACACACACACAUAA